RNAcentral lists this ribosomal RNA (3960 nucleotides) under Drosophila melanogaster (fruit fly). RNAcentral's name for it is "eukaryotic LSU rRNA". The stretch from base 573 to 3389 matches the Rfam family "Eukaryotic large subunit ribosomal RNA". The record is from RNAcentral. Lineage: Eukaryota; Metazoa; Arthropoda; Insecta; Diptera; Drosophilidae.
ACUCUAAGCGGUGGAUCACUCGGCUCAUGGGUCGAUGAAGAACGCAGCAAACUGUGCGUCAUCGUGUGAACUGCAGGACACAUGAACAUCGACAUUUUGAACGCAUAUCGCAGUCCAUGCUGUUAUGUACUUUAAUUAAUUUUAUAGUGCUGCUUGGACUACAUAUGGUUGAGGGUUGUAAGACUAUGCUAAUUAAGUUGCUUAUAAAUUUUUAUAAGCAUAUGGUAUAUUAUUGGAUAAAUAUAAUAAUUUUUAUUCAUAAUAUUAAAAAAUAAAUGAAAAACAUUAUCUCACAUUUGAAUGUGAAAAACGAAGAGAAAUAUUUUCUUUUUCAAUCAAAUAAUACUGAGAAAUGUCUAGCAUAAAAAAUUGAAAUAUUUUUCAUCUAGAAUUGUCUCUUAUUAAUGAUUCGGAAAUAGAAAAAUCUUGGUUAUGUUAUUAUUCUUCGUUGGUUCGUUAAAAAUGGAUAAAUAAAAACUUUGCAUACAAGAAUUAAUAAAAAUGUUAUAACGAAUUUAAUUAAAUGUUUUAUCAUUAUAUAUAAAGAAUUUAUGGCAAGAUAAAGUUAUAUACAACCUCAACUCAUAUGGGACUACCCCCUGAAUUUAAGCAUAUUAAUUAGGGGAGGAAAAGAAACUAACAAGGAUUUUCUUAGUAGCGGCGAGCGAAAAGAAAACAGUUCAGCACUAAGUCACUUUGUCUAUAUGGCAAAUGUGAGAUGCAGUGUAUGGAGCGUCAAUAUUCUAGUAUGAGAAAUUAACGAUUUAAGUCCUUCUUAAAUGAGGCCAUUUACCCAUAGAGGGUGCCAGGCCCGUAUAACGUUAAUGAUUACUAGAUGAUGUUUCCAAAGAGUCGUGUUGCUUGAUAGUGCAGCACUAAGUGGGUGGUAAACUCCAUCUAAAACUAAAUAUAACCAUGAGACCGAUAGUAAACAAGUACCGUGAGGGAAAGUUGAAAAGAACUCUGAAUAGAGAGUUAAACAGUACGUGAAACUGCUUAGAGGUUAAGCCCGAUGAACCUGAAUAUCCGUUAUGGAAAAUUCAUCAUUAAAAUUGUAAUAUUUAAAUAAUAUUAUGAGAAUAGUGUGCAUUUUUUCCAUAUAAGGACAUUGUAAUCUAUUAGCAUAUACCAAAUUUAUCAUAAAAUAUAACUUAUAGUUUAUUCCAAUUAAAUUGCUUGCAUUUUAACACAGAAUAAAUGUUAUUAAUUUGAUAAAGUGCUGAUAGAUUUAUAUGAUUACAGUGCGUUAAUUUUUCGGAAUUAUAUAAUGGCAUAAUUAUCAUUGAUUUUUGUGUUUAUUAUAUGCACUUGUAUGAUUAACAAUGCGAAAGAUUCAGGAUACCUUCGGGACCCGUCUUGAAACACGGACCAAGGAGUCUAACAUAUGUGCAAGUUAUUGGGAUAUAAACCUAAUAGCGUAAUUAACUUGACUAAUAAUGGGAUUAGUUUUUUAGCUAUUUAUAGCUAAUUAACACAAUCCCGGGGCGUUCUAUAUAGUUAUGUAUAAUGUAUAUUUAUAUUAUUUAUGCUCUAACUGGAACGUACCUUGAGCAUAUAUGCUGUGACCCGAAAGAUGGUGAACUAUACUUGAUCAGGUUGAAGUCAGGGGAAACCCUGAUGGAAGACCGAAACAGUUCUGACGUGCAAAUCGAUUGUCAGAAUUGAGUAUAGGGGCGAAAGACCAAUCGAACCAUCUAGUAGCUGGUUCCUUCCGAAGUUUCCCUCAGGAUAGCUGGUGCAUUUUAAUAUUAUAUAAAAUAAUCUUAUCUGGUAAAGCGAAUGAUUAGAGGCCUUAGGGUCGAAACGAUCUUAACCUAUUCUCAAACUUUAAAUGGGUAAGAACCUUAACUUUCUUGAUAUGAAGUUCAAGGUUAUGAUAUAAUGUGCCCAGUGGGCCACUUUUGGUAAGCAGAACUGGCGCUGUGGGAUGAACCAAACGUAAUGUUACGGUGCCCAAAUUAACAACUCAUGCAGAUACCAUGAAAGGCGUUGGUUGCUUAAAACAGCAGGACGGUGAUCAUGGAAGUCGAAAUCCGCUAAGGAGUGUGUAACAACUCACCUGCCGAAGCAACUAGCCCUUAAAAUGGAUGGCGCUUAAGUUGUAUACCUAUACAUUACCGCUAAAGUAGAUGAUUUAUAUUACUUGUGAUAUAAAAUUUUGAAACUUUAGUGAGUAGGAAGGUACAAUGGUAUGCGUAGAAGUGUUUGGCGUAAGCCUGCAUGGAGCUGCCAUUGGUACAGAUCUUGGUGGUAGUAGCAAAUAAUCGAAUGAGACCUUGGAGGACUGAAGUGGAGAAGGGUUUCGUGUGAACAGUGGUUGAUCACGAGUUAGUCGGUCCUAAGUUCAAGGCGAAAGCCGAAAAUUUUCAAGUAAAACAAAAAUGCCUAACUAUAUAAACAAAGCGAAUUAUAAUACACUUGAAUAAUUUUGAACGAAAGGGAAUACGGUUCCAAUUCCGUAACCUGUUGAGUAUCCGUUUGUUAUUAAAUAUGGGCCUCGUGCUCAUCCUGGCAACAGGAACGACCAUAAAGAAGCCGUCGAGAGAUAUCGGAAGAGUUUUCUUUUCUGUUUUAUAGCCGUACUACCAUGGAAGUCUUUCGCAGAGAGAUAUGGUAGAUGGGCUAGAAGAGCAUGACAUAUACUGUUGUGUCGAUAUUUUCUCCUCGGACCUUGAAAAUUUAUGGUGGGGACACGCAAACUUCUCAACAGGCCGUACCAAUAUCCGCAGCUGGUCUCCAAAGGUGAAGAGUCUCUAGUCGAUAGAAUAAUGUAGGUAAGGGAAGUCGGCAAAUUAGAUCCGUAACUUCGGGAUAAGGAUUGGCUCUGAAGAUUGAGAUAGUCGGGCUUGAUUGGGAAACAAUAACAUGGUUUAUGUGCUCGUUCUGGGUAAAUAGAGUUUCUAGCAUUUAUGUUAGUUACUUGUUCCCCGGAUAGUUUUAGUUACGUAGCCAAUUGUGGAACUUUCUUGCUAAAAUUUUAAGAAUACUAUUUGGGUUAAACCAAUUAGUUCUUAUUAAUUAUAACGAUUAUCAAUUAACAAUCAAUUCAGAACUGGCACGGACUUGGGGAAUCCGACUGUCUAAUUAAAACAAAGCAUUGUGAUGGCCCUAGCGGGUGUUGACACAAUGUGAUUUCUGCCCAGUGCUCUGAAUGUCAAAGUGAAGAAAUUCAAGUAAGCGCGGGUCAACGGCGGGAGUAACUAUGACUCUCUUAAGGUAGCCAAAUGCCUCGUCAUCUAAUUAGUGACGCGCAUGAAUGGAUUAACGAGAUUCCUACUAGCCUCGCUGCCAGAGCUUAAUCCUGCUUGGAUGCCUUUCGUAUGCGAACAGUAUCCACAUGUGGCACUGCAGGUACUUGGUGAGCUCCCCCGCUUGAUCUGCUGCUAAGUUAUUAGCGAUUAAAUACAAGCUAAAACGUGGAUUCCGCGCUGGAGAGAACGACUGGCUUUACGGCGAGGACAUUGCGUGUCUUAGCCUGGGAGCAGAGGAAAGACUCGCCUAGAGGAGUGUUUAAUCCAGGUUGGCAGAACAGAUGGGACGAUGACAGCGAACAGGACGGGUGACGCAUAGGUUUAUCCCAUACGUCACUCUUGCCUAUCGGGAUCCAAGUUUUCGUUCUCGAUGAGGACGUCUUUCCUGCUACAGGGCACGGGUCGUUCAUGCAUUUUUGCACGGAAGAGCCCUCAGCGAUACCACUGCUUGCGCAUGUGGAGAUCCAUAUGAGGACUGGAUGCAUAUCUGUGCGCUUGCCCCCUAUAUGCAGAUCUGCGGGACCUAGAUGACUUGGAGUGCAGCGCCUUGGCGAAAACUGGAUCUUCGAGGAAUCCUGGAUGAUCAGAGAAAGACUCAACGCUGGCAAUUGUUGCGGAAGAAGUGUUCCUGAGGAGGAGGGGCGUUUAGCUCAGCAUCUCUGCCGUGUGGUUAGCGGGCGAGAAUACUACCAAGUCCGCUGUUGCUUGU